Oncorhynchus tshawytscha (Chinook salmon) is the source of this 190-nucleotide small nuclear RNA. Its record names the gene U2. It matches the Rfam family "U2 spliceosomal RNA". Rfam says of the family: U2 is a small nuclear RNA (snRNA) component of the spliceosome (involved in pre-mRNA splicing). Complementary binding between U2 snRNA (in an area lying towards the 5' end but 3' to hairpin I) and the branchpoint sequence (BPS) of the intron results the bulging out of an unpaired adenosine, on the BPS, which initiates a nucleophilic attack at the intronic 5' splice site, thus starting the first of two transesterification reactions that mediate splicing. NCBI's taxonomy places the organism in Eukaryota, Metazoa, Chordata, Actinopteri, Salmoniformes, Salmonidae. The record is from Ensembl.
AUCGCUUCUCGGCCUUUUGGCUCAGAUCAAGUGUAGUAUCUGUUCUUAUCAGUUUAAUAUCUGAUACGUCCCCCAUCGGGGGACUACAUAUUAAAUGGAUUUUUCGAACAGUCGGAAAAAUGGGGCUUGCUCCGUCCGCUCCACGCAUUCGACCCGGUAUUGCAGUACCUCCGGGAACGGUGCAACACUU